Molecule: long non-coding RNA, 816 nt
Organism: Bombyx mori (domestic silkworm)
Lineage: Eukaryota; Metazoa; Arthropoda; Insecta; Lepidoptera; Bombycidae
Exons: 3
Source: RefSeq, a predicted model, not a curated record
UCCGUUUACCAAUAAGCAGUGAUCAGUUUCUUUUGUUUGUUUUUCUAUUGUUUACCUACUAUAUUAUAUGAUGACUUACCUCCAAAACGCUUUAAAACUUUCGUUUAUAAUUCUAAGUGUGUUUAUAAUUAAAGAGCUACAGUGAAAUAAAAUGAAUUCUUCAAGAAAGGCAGCACCCAUGACAAAAGAUGAGACGAUGAUUCUAGCAGAACUUGUGGCGGCGAAAAAACAUUUCAAUAAUAAGGCAACAAAUGCCACAAACAAUAAAUUGAAGGAGCAGGCUUGGCAAACCCUUGUAAAUGAUUUUAAUUCGUCGAUUCGUCGUUUCCCACGAACUCCAUCGCAGCUUCGACUAAAAUGGGAAAACUUAAAGAACGCUACGGCACAUAAGAAACAACCUUAGUAAGGCUGGAGGUGGUAAGGAUUGCAGAUGAAAUUUUGGAUAAAGCAUGCACAUUGUUGUAGGUCACAUAUAAUAUUUUUAACACUUUUACAGCCAAGCGGAAACAAGAUGGAAGAAAAGAAAUGCAAGGCUAGCAUAGGGACAAUGCAUUAGCAGAAUAUCUAAUAGCAAAAAAGAGACGACUUGGAAAAUAAAGAAAAGGAGAUUGUUGUAGCAAAAGUUAAGUUAGAUUUAGAUAAUUUAAAAAAUAAAAAAUUACUUAAAAGGAAUAUUAAAUUUCAUAAAUUAAGUAGGCAAUAAUAAUUUUAUGUUAGAUAGUUUUUUAAGUAUAUGUACAAAUUCUAAAUUAAAUAUCUUGCAUGUACUAACUACCAUGUAAUUAUCAUUUUGGAAAAUAAAAAAUAGUCAAAUUA